GAGGAGCUGCUCCGGAUCAGCGGCGGACGGGUGAGUAAUGCCUAGGAAUCGCUGGUAGUGGGGGACAACGUUUCGAAAGGAACGCUAAUACCGCAUACGUCCUACGGGAGAAAGCCGGGGACCUUCGGGCCUUGCGCUAUCAGAUGAGCCUAGGUCGGAUUAGCUAGUUGGUGAGGUAAUGGCUCACCAAGGCGACGAUCCGUAACUGGUCUGAGAGGGAUGAUCAGUCACACUGGAACUGAGACACGGUCCAGACUCCUACGGGAGGCAGCAGUGGGGAAUAUUGGACAAUGGGCGAAAGCCUGAUCCAGCCAUGCCGCGUGUGUGAAGAAGGUCUUCGGAUUGUAAAGCACUUUAAGUUGGGAGGAAGGGUUGUAGAUUAAUACUCUGCAAUUUUGACGUUACCGACAGAAUAAGCACCGGCUAACUCUGUGCCAGCAGCCGCGGUAAUACAGAGGGUGCAAGCGUUAAUCGGAAUUACUGGGCGUAAAGCGCGCGUAGGUGGUUCGUUAAGUUGGAUGUGAAAUCCCCGGGCUCACCUGGGAACUGCAUCCAAACUGGCGAGCUAGAGUAUGGUAGAGGGUGGUGGAUUCCUGUGUAGCGGUGAAAUGCGUAGAUAUAGGAAGGACACCCAGUGGCGAAGCGACCACCUGACUGAU
Molecule: ribosomal RNA, 659 nt
Filed under: Pseudomonas sp. MO.34
Lineage: Bacteria; Pseudomonadati; Pseudomonadota; Gammaproteobacteria; Pseudomonadales; Pseudomonadaceae
Description: bacterial SSU rRNA
Rfam family: Bacterial small subunit ribosomal RNA
Source: RNAcentral